This 375-nucleotide long non-coding RNA is filed under the name Neogobius melanostomus (round goby). Its description in RNAcentral is "lncRNA (ENSNMLG00000012190.1)". Lineage: Eukaryota; Metazoa; Chordata; Actinopteri; Gobiiformes; Gobiidae. The record is from RNAcentral.
CUGCGCAUGCGCAAAUAGCACACUUAAACAUUCACCCACUAAAUCAUAAUAAGCACAAUUCAUUUCAACGCAAAGGAGUAGGCCUCUAUUCUACACGUAUGAAGGCAACAGCAGUGAGUUUCCUGUUGUGUACCCCUUUCACCACCUGGGGGCAUCAUCACUCACCAUCACUACCAUCACGCAUCAGCGGCAGCACUUACCCACAGAGCUGCUGAAAAUCUUCUCUGUUCAGAGAAGACGUGGGGCAAGAAACGGCCACCAGAGGGAGCACACAUGCUAUGAAAAUUGAAGAUGCCUGCUUUUGUUUGAGGAUUUACACCAUCCUGUUGCCAUGAAGGUAAGAAAACUAACAGUUGUGGGAUUUGGAUUUGUGCC